UACGGAGGGUGCGAGCGUUAAUCGGAAUCACUGGGCGUAAAGCGCACGUAGGCUGUCUGGCAAGUCAGGGGUGAAAUCCCGCGGCUCAACCGCGGAACUGCCUUUGAAACUGUCAGACUUGAGUAUCGGAGAGGGUGGCGGAAUUCCAGGUGUAGGAGUGAAAUCCGUAGAUAUCUGGAAGAACACCGGUGGCGAAGGCGGCCACCUGGACGAAAACUGACGCUGAGGUGCGAAAGCGUGGGUAGCAAAC
RNAcentral lists this ribosomal RNA (250 nucleotides) under uncultured prokaryote. RNAcentral describes it as "partial 16S ribosomal RNA". It matches the Rfam family "Bacterial small subunit ribosomal RNA", at positions 524 to 773 of the family's 1533-position model. The record is from RNAcentral.